ACGAGGUGGUGGCAGCAGAUGCCCUGGGGGAUUUAAGCCAUGUCCAAAGAGUGGCCCAACAAAGGCCCUGGGCAGGGAUGCUGUUGGGCUCCGAGCCUAGUGAGCAAGGGGAGACGCAGGUCCAAGGAAGAUCCACGGAAAACAUCCUGGGGUCCUGAGCUGAAGUGUGAUGGGAGGAGUCCUCUGCAUCUCAGUCCGAGCCUGGCCUCCCUCCCAGCCAUGGUCUCACACUAGUGCUGCCAGGAAACCAUCCCUCAUAGCCAGUCCUAGCAUCGAGCAGUGUCUCUGGUCCAACUGUUGUCCACCUCAAGGGUUUAGCCGCUUAGAUUUUCCUAACACUUGAAUUUCAUUUUUCUCUAGCCAUGGAAUACAGAUUAAUCCUUUACAGUUAAAAUCCAAGUUCAGAUUUUA
Long non-coding RNA from Cercocebus atys (sooty mangabey), 411 nucleotides. RefSeq lists it as uncharacterized. The record is from RefSeq and is a predicted model, not a curated record. The transcript has 2 exons. Lineage: Eukaryota; Metazoa; Chordata; Mammalia; Primates; Cercopithecidae.